AUACGUAGGAGGCAAGCGUUGUUCGGAAUCACUGGGCUUAAAGAGCGUGUAGGCGGGGUGGUAGGUGCCUUGUGAAAUCCCUCGGCUCAACCGAGGAAUGGCUCGGCAAACCAUCACUCUUGAGGCAGGUAGAGGCAAGCGGAACCAUGGGUGGAGCGGUGAAAUGCGUAGAGAUCCAUGGGAACACCGGUGGCGAAAGCGGCUUGCUGGACCUGUUCUGACGCUGAGACGCGAAAGCGUGGGUAGCAAACAGCAUUAGAUACCCCAGUAGUCC
This 274-nucleotide ribosomal RNA is filed under the name uncultured bacterium. RNAcentral describes it as "partial 16S ribosomal RNA". It matches the Rfam family "Bacterial small subunit ribosomal RNA", at positions 523 to 796 of the family's 1533-position model. The record is from RNAcentral.